AGCGGCGCGCGGGGGCACCUUGGCGGCGAGCGGCGGACGGGUGAGGAAUGCAUCGGAAUCUACCUUGUUGUGGGGGAUAACGUAGGGAAACUUACGCUAAUACCGCAUACGACCUACGGGUGAAAGAGGGGGACCUUCGGGCCUCUCGCGAUAAGAUGAGCCGAUGCCGGAUUAGCUAGUUGGAGGGGUAAAGGCCCACCAAGGCGACGAUCCGUAGCUGGUCUGAGAGGAUGAUCAGCCACACUGGAACUGAGACACGGUCCAGACUCCUACGGGAGGCAGCAGUGGGGAAUAUUGGACAAUGGGCGCAAGCCUGAUCCAGCCAUGCCGCGUGUGUGAAGAAGGCCUUCGGGUUGUAAAGCACUUUUGUUGGGGAAGAAACCGACCGGGUUAAUACUUCGGUUGAAUGACGGUACCCAAAGAAUAAGCACCGGCUAACUUCGUGCCAGCAGCCGCGGUAAUACGAAGGGUGCAAGCGUUACUCGGAAUUACUGGGCGUAAAGCGUGCGUAGGCGGUUAGUUAAGUCUGUCGUGAAAGCCCCGGGCUCAACCUGGGAAUGGCGAUGGAUACUGGCUAGCUAGAGUGUGUCAGAGGAUGGUGGAAUUCCCGGUGUAGCGGUGAAAUGCGUAGAGAUCGGGAGGAACACCAGUGGCGAAGGCGGCCAUCUGGGACAACACUGACGCUGAGGCACGAAAGCG
This 699-nucleotide ribosomal RNA is filed under the name uncultured bacterium. RNAcentral's name for it is "bacterial SSU rRNA". It matches the Rfam family "Bacterial small subunit ribosomal RNA", at positions 65 to 761 of the family's 1533-position model. The record is from RNAcentral.